Molecule: transfer RNA, 75 nt
Filed under: Rhodobacter sp.
Lineage: Bacteria; Pseudomonadati; Pseudomonadota; Alphaproteobacteria; Rhodobacterales
Also listed under: 25 other names
Description: tRNA-Glu
Rfam family: tRNA
About the family: Transfer RNA (tRNA) molecules are approximately 80 nucleotides in length. Their secondary structure includes four short double-helical elements and three loops (D, anti-codon, and T loops). Further hydrogen bonds mediate the characteristic L-shaped molecular structure. tRNAs have two regions of fundamental functional importance: the anti-codon, which is responsible for specific mRNA codon recognition, and the 3' end, to which the tRNAs corresponding amino acid is attached (by aminoacyl-tRNA synthetases). tRNAs cope with the degeneracy of the genetic code in two manners: having more than one tRNA (with a specific anti-codon) for a particular amino acid; and 'wobble' base-pairing, i.e. permitting non-standard base-pairing at the 3rd anti-codon position.
Source: RNAcentral
GGCCCGUUCGUCUAUCGGUUAGGACACCUGGUUUUCAACCAGGUAAGAGGGGUUCGACUCCCCUACGGGCUGCCA